This 497-nucleotide ribosomal RNA is filed under the name uncultured bacterium. RNAcentral describes it as "partial 16S ribosomal RNA". It matches the Rfam family "Bacterial small subunit ribosomal RNA", at positions 28 to 507 of the family's 1533-position model. The record is from RNAcentral.
GACGAACGCUGGCGGCGUGCCUAAUACAUGCCAGUUGAGCGCUGAAGGUUGGUACUUGUACCAACUGGAUGAGCAGCGAACGGGUGAGUAACGCGUGGGGAAUCUGCCUUUGAGCGGGGGACAACAUUUGGAAACGAAUGCUAAUACCGCAUAAAAACUUUAAACACAAGUUUUAAGUUUGAAAGAUGCAAUUGCAUCACUCAAAGAUGAUCCCGCGUUGUAUUAGCUAGUUGGUGAGGUAAAGGCUCACCAAGGCGAUGAUACAUAGCCGACCUGAGAGGGUGAUCGGCCACAUUGGGACUGAGACACGGCCCAAACUCCUACGGGAGGCAGCAGUAGGGAAUCUUCGGCAAUGGACGAAAGUCUGACCGAGCAACGCCGCGUGAGUGAAGAAGGUUUUCGGAUCGUAAAACUCUGUUGGUAGAGAAGAACGUUGGCGAGAGUGGAAAGCUCAUCAAGUGACGGUAACUACCCAGAAAGGGACGGCUAACUACGUG